Molecule: ribosomal RNA, 423 nt
Filed under: uncultured bacterium
Lineage: Bacteria
Description: bacterial SSU rRNA
Rfam family: Bacterial small subunit ribosomal RNA
Source: RNAcentral
UGAGGAAUAUUGGUCAAUGGGCGGAAGCCUGAACCAGCCAUCCCGCGUGAAGGAAGAAGGCCUUAUGGGUUGUAAACUUCUUUUCUGUUUGAAGAAUAAGCUUGUCGAGACAAGUGAUGCCGGUAGGACAGGAAUAAGCAUCGGCUAACUCCGUGCCAGCAGCCGCGGUAAUACGGAGGAUGCAAGCGUUAUCCGGAUUUAUUGGGUUUAAAGGGUGCGCAGGUGGUUUAAUAAGUCAGUGGUGAAAGUCUGCCGCUUAACGGUAGGAUUGCCAUUGAUACUGUUGGACUUGAAUAUGGAUGAGGUAGGCGGAAUGUGUAGUGUAGCGGUGAAAUGCUUAGAUAUUACACAGAACACCGAUUGCGAAGGCAGCUUACUAAUCCAUGAUUGACGCUGAGGCACGAAAGCGUGGGGAUCAAACAG